UCGGUCAAUGCCUUCCCUAGAUACUUCUCGUCGGGCUCUCUCCUCCAACUUUGUGGGCUUCAGCUUAAUUAUUUUGCUGUAUAAAUACUGAACUCCUCGUCCGUUCACUUAUUAUCGAGCUAGAGCAUCCUGAUAAGAGAGAAAUAUAUUGUAAAUGGAAGGUUUAAUUCUAAGCCCUGCUAAACUAGCUACUCUCUUCCUCUUUUUCUCUAUUCACUUCACCUCUAGCUCAGCAACCAGGUUCUUGAGUAGCAACACAAAUGCCCAGUUCGUAAAAGCAUCCUGUAGCAACACAACCUAUCCUCAAUUGUGCUAUGAAUCCUUCGCACGCUAUGCCAGCAAAAUUCAAAGCAACCCCAAAAUGCUAGCCC
This 371-nucleotide long non-coding RNA is filed under the name Manihot esculenta (cassava). RNAcentral's name for it is "long non-coding RNA (MESC_LNC000769)". The record is from RNAcentral. Lineage: Eukaryota; Viridiplantae; Streptophyta; Magnoliopsida; Malpighiales; Euphorbiaceae.